CGCAGACACACACAGCAUCGCCAUGGGC
RNAcentral lists this non-coding RNA (28 nucleotides) under Homo sapiens (human). The record is from RNAcentral. Lineage: Eukaryota; Metazoa; Chordata; Mammalia; Primates; Hominidae.